This is a non-coding RNA of Felis catus (domestic cat), 85 nucleotides long. The record is from Rfam. Lineage: Eukaryota; Metazoa; Chordata; Mammalia; Carnivora; Felidae.
ACCUGGGUGGCUGAGUCGGUUAAGCAUCUGACUUUGGCUCAGGUCAUGAUCUCAUGGUUCAUAGGUUUGAGCCCCAUGUCAGGCU